Molecule: long non-coding RNA, 573 nt
Filed under: Homo sapiens (human)
Lineage: Eukaryota; Metazoa; Chordata; Mammalia; Primates; Hominidae
Description: non-protein coding DUBR:15
Source: RNAcentral
AAGCUGAUCUGUAAGUAACUAAACUACCUGCAGAACAAAGUCCAAAUUUAUUAGUUCCAGUACUCCAAAAAAAACACAUGUAAAAAAAAAAUAGAUUUACAAGACAUUUAUUUGGGGAAAAAAAGAAUGCCUGAGGGUUGAAAUGGAGAGGAAGCCAGAGAGACAGAGUCCUCAGAAUACAUAAAAUUUCUGGCCUCCAUGGAGGUGUGAUGGUUAAUUUUAUGCAUGUCAACUUCGCUGGGCCACAGGAUGCCCCAUAUAUGAUCGAACAUUAUUUCUGGUUGUGUUCAUGAAGCUUUUUCUGGAGGAAAUUCGCAUUUGAAUUGAUGGACUGAAUAAAGCAGAUUGCAGUCCCCAGUGUGGAUGGGCUUGAUCCAGUCUUCUAAGGACCCAAAUAAAAUAGGUGGAGGAAGCUUGAAUUUUCUGCCUGACUGUGGCGCUGGGACACCCAUCUUCUCCUGCCCUUGAACUGGGACUGACACCAUCAGUGCUCCUGGUUCUCAGACCUUCGGACAGCAGACUUGGGGCCUUCUCGGCCUCCAUUAUUGUCUGCUUUUAGAUAUUUAACGGGAG